AUAACCGGCGAUACCCGAAUGGGGAAACCCAGUGUGACUCGUCACACUAUCAUUAACUGAAUCCAUAGGUUAAUGAGGCGAACCGGGGGAACUGAAACAUCUAAGUACCCCGAGGAAAAGAAAUCAACCGAGAUUCCCCCAGUAGCGGCGAGCGAACGGGGAGGAGCCCAGAGCCUGAAUCAGCAUGUGUGUUAGUGGAAGCGUCUGGAAAGGCGCGCGAUACAGGGUGACAGCCCCGUACACAAAAGCGCAUGUGCUGUGAGCUCGAUGAGUAGGGCGGGACACGUGGUAUCCUGUCUGAAUAUGGGGGGACCAUCCUCCAAGGCUAAAUACUCCUGACUGACCGAUAGUGAACCAGUACCGUGAGGGAAAGGCGAAAAGAACCCCGGCGAGGGGAGUGAAAAAGAACCUGAAACCGU
RNAcentral lists this ribosomal RNA (419 nucleotides) under Salmonella enterica. RNAcentral's name for it is "partial 23S ribosomal RNA". It matches the Rfam family "Bacterial large subunit ribosomal RNA", at positions 100 to 559 of the family's 2925-position model. RNAcentral also lists the same sequence under 1 other name. The record is from RNAcentral. Lineage: Bacteria; Pseudomonadati; Pseudomonadota; Gammaproteobacteria; Enterobacterales; Enterobacteriaceae.